Molecule: unclassified non-coding RNA, 203 nt
Filed under: Hevea brasiliensis (rubber tree)
Lineage: Eukaryota; Viridiplantae; Streptophyta; Magnoliopsida; Malpighiales; Euphorbiaceae
Source: RNAcentral
GGACCAUCAGUGAAAAUUUAAAUCAUAGAAUUGAUUAAAAUUUUUAGUUGUCAAUGAUGUUUUCUAUAUCGUUCCACAAAAAUAUUGUACAAAAAUUCCUCCUUUUUUCCCGCUCUCGUCAUUGCUCUGAGCUACAGUACCCAUGUAUAGUUCAAGGCAUGGCAUUCAUGAUUUAAUCAAGGACAUGAACACAUCUCUUCCAC